ACGAACGCUGGCGGCGUGCCUAAUACAUGCAAGUCGAACGGUCUUUCUAUGGAAGCUGCUUCCACUGAGAAGAUAGUGGCGGACGGGUGAGUAACACGUGGGUAACCUGCCCAUAAGAGGGGGAUAACAUCCGGAAACGGGUGCUAAUACCGCAUAGUUUUCUUGAUCGCAUGAUUGAGAAAGGAAAGACGGCCUUUGUGCUGUCGCUUAUGGAUGGACCCGCGGCGUAUUAGUUAGUUGGUGAGGUAAUGGCUCACCAAGACGAUGAUACGUAGCCGACCUGAGAGGGUGAUCGGCCACAUUGGGACUGAGACACGGCCCAAACUCCUACGGGAGGCAGCAGUAGGGAAUCUUCCGCAAUGGACGAAAGUCUGACGGAGCAACGCCGCGUGAGUGAAGAAAGGUUUUCGGAUCGUAAAACUCUGUUGUCAGAGAAGAACAAGUUGGAGAGUAACUGCUCCAGCCUUGACGGUAUCUGACCAGAAAGCCACGGCUAACUACGUGCCAGCCGCCGC
Molecule: ribosomal RNA, 515 nt
Filed under: uncultured bacterium
Lineage: Bacteria
Description: bacterial SSU rRNA
Rfam family: Bacterial small subunit ribosomal RNA
Source: RNAcentral